GAUGAACGCUGGCGGCGUGCCUAAUACAUGCAAGUCGUGCGGCAGCGAGUUCCUCACUGACGUUCGGAACCGAGUUUGUCAGGUUUGUAAAGUUGAAAGUUCAUAAAGUAAGUUGCGCUAAUGUUGUAGCUCAAACUUUGUAACUUUAAAAACUUUAUAACUUUAUAACUCGAUCAUUCCGAAUGUGAGUGAGGAAUGUCGGCGAGCGGCGGACGGGUGAGUAACGCGUAGGAAUCACCCCAGACUGAGGGAUAACCAGCCGAAAGGUUGGCUAAUACCGCAUAACCUCUUAGGAGAAAAGCUCCGGCGGUUUGGGAAGAGCCUGCGUCCGAUUAGCUUGUUGGCGGGGUAAAGGCCCACCAAGGCGACGAUCGGUAGCUGGUCUGAGAGGAUGAUCAGCCACACUGGAACUGAGAC
RNAcentral lists this ribosomal RNA (417 nucleotides) under uncultured bacterium. RNAcentral's name for it is "bacterial SSU rRNA". It matches the Rfam family "Bacterial small subunit ribosomal RNA", at positions 28 to 325 of the family's 1533-position model. The record is from RNAcentral.